RNAcentral lists this long non-coding RNA (1275 nucleotides) under Felis catus (domestic cat). Its description in RNAcentral is "lncRNA (ENSFCAG00000048949.1)". The record is from RNAcentral. Lineage: Eukaryota; Metazoa; Chordata; Mammalia; Carnivora; Felidae.
CACAUUGUUUUCUUUAUACGUCCCAACGGGAUUGGUUCUGCGACCUUCGUUUGUAACGAUUCACCAAGAUAAUUCACAUAAAGUGCCAGGCAUAGAGCCUGGCAUGGAGUAAUUGUUCAGUAAUUGCAAGUUCUUCCACUUGACCAUGAAAGCAGUACCUUCUCUUGCGACAGCGUCAUCCCAAAAGGAUCAGACUCACCCUAAGUGGCAUGGCUCCCUUUAUCACAGCAUCGCCACCGCCGUAAGCACUUUGCAUCUUUUAAUGUAUUAAUGAGCUAAUCUUACUAGUCAUUUCUCACAAUCACCUUUUGCAGAUGAAGAAACUGCAGCACAGUGAAGUUCAGGGACUUGUCAAUGUUCACAUGAGCCAAUUAGUGGUGUUCAUCACUGUCAACAGCCAUGUGCCAGGCAAUGCGCUGGAAUCUGGGGAUACGAUGGAGUUGGGCCAAAAGAAGAGGCUAGAGAUCUGGUGUCAUGUUAAUGUGGGAGGAGUGCUACUCGCAUCAUGCUGCAAUGCACAGGGUAGUUUUCCACAGCAAAGAAUUAUCCAGCCCCAGAUGUCAAAAGCGCCAUUAUUGUGAAACCCUGAUCGGAAGAUAAUGAGAGAACUGGAGAGACCUGGUUGGAAAUCAGCAAGAAAUUUGUAGGCUAGAGGGAAUAGCUACACAAAAUGACUUAAAUCACUGCCCGGUCUGAGAAGGCAAAAGAAGCCUUCAGUCAUUUCUUAGCAUUAACUUUUGCUGAGGCUACUCCUGGCGACACUGAUUAUAGGUUAUAAGGAACGUUGCUGCCAUUACACUUCAGCCUCGGGCCAUUACAAUACUUUGCAGAUUCUUCAGGAACUACCUCAGUCAUUCAGACUAGAAAGAGGAGAACUCAAUGCGAGUGUCUACUCCAUCAAAGGAACCAUUUUGGGCGUUUUGCCUAUGUAAUACCAAGUAAUUCUCACAAUAACACCGUGAAGAAGAUGUCAUAUAUUUUAAAAUGUGACGAUAUUUUAGAUAUAAGUACAAUGGAACCCAGAGGAAGUAUUUCCUUUGGAUACAGAUAUAUAAUUGAAACUCAUGUCUGUCAUAAAUAACUCACAGUGUAAUUGGAUGUCAUAUUCUACAUAAUAUAUAAGGUAUGACUACAGUUUGUAAUUAAUAUUUAUAUGCCUUGCACUUACCACAUGCCAUAGAAUAUUUUUAAUAUUAUAUCUUAAUAUUCCCCUGGUAAGGAUGGCAAGGAUAUUGAAGUUCAAAGGGGUGAAAUUAAUUGUACAAGGAUGUACAG